RNAcentral lists this ribosomal RNA (468 nucleotides) under uncultured bacterium. RNAcentral describes it as "bacterial SSU rRNA". It matches the Rfam family "Bacterial small subunit ribosomal RNA", at positions 917 to 1382 of the family's 1533-position model. The record is from RNAcentral.
GGGCCCGCACAAGCGGUGGAGCAUGUGGUUUAAUUCGACGCAACGCGAAGAACCUUACCUGGGCUCGAACGGCUACUCACAGAGGCAGAAAUGUCUUGUCUCCUUCGGGAGAGUAUAGUCGAGGUGCUGCAUGGCUGUCGUCAGCUCGUGUCGUGAGAUGUUGGGUUAAGUCCCGCAACGAGCGCAACCCUUACUAGUAGUUACUAACGGACAAUGCCGAGGACUCUACUGGGACUGCCUGCGACAAGCAGGAGGAAGGUGGGGACGACGUCAAGUCAUCAUGGCCCUUACGUCCAGGGCUACACACGUGCUACAAUGGCUGGCACAAAGAGACGCAAAGUGGCGACACUGAGCAAAUCUGAGAAAUCCAGCCCCAGUUCGGAUAGGAGUCUGCAAUUCGACUCCUUGAAGUUGGAAUCGCUAGUAAUCGCAGAUCAGAAUGCUGCGGUGAAUACGUUCCCGGGCCUU